CAAUAGCGUAUAUUAACGUUGUUGCAGUUAAAAAGCUCGUAGUUGGAUUUCUGGAGGGAGCGUCGGCCCGUAUUUACGAGUGCGUGACGUCUCUGUCCAUCCUUGCGGGAAGGCACGGCAUAGAUUUGUUGUGUCGGAUCGCAUCAUUUACUGUGAAAAAAUUAGAGUGUUCAAAGCAGGCUUUCGCUUGAAUACAUUAGCAUGGAAUAAUAAGAUAGGACUUUGGUCUAUUUUGUUGGUUUGCAGACCGAAGUAAUGAUUAAUAGGGAUAGUUGGGGGUAUUUAUAUUCCGAUGUCAGAGGUGAAAUUCUUAGAUUUUCGGAAGAUAAACUUAUGCGAAAGCAUUUACCAAGGAUGUUUNCAUUA
Molecule: ribosomal RNA, 366 nt
Filed under: uncultured eukaryote
Lineage: Eukaryota
Description: partial 18S ribosomal RNA
Rfam family: Eukaryotic small subunit ribosomal RNA
Source: RNAcentral